UGUUGGGUUGAGUCCCGCAACGAGCGCAACCCUUAUCCUUUGUUGCUAGCGAUUAGGUCGGGCAACUAAAGGUCACUGCCAGUGGUAGACUGGAGGAAGGUGGGGAUGACGUGAAGUCAUCAUGGCCCUUACGACCAGGGAUACACACGUGCUACAAUGGCGCAUACAAAGAGAAGCGACCUCGCGAGAGCAAGCGGACCUCAUAAAGUGCGUCGUAGUCCGGAUUGGAGUCUGCAACUCGACUCCAUGAAGUCGGAAUCGCUAGUAAUCGUGGAUCAGAAUGCCACGGUGAAUACGUUCCCGGGCCUUGUACACACCGCCCGUCACACCAUGGGAGUGGGUUGCAAAAGAAGUAGGUAGCUUAACCUUCGGGAGGGCGCUUACCACUUUGUGAUUCAUGACUGGGGUGAAGUCGUAACAAGGUAACCGUAGGGGAACCUGCGGUUGGAUCACCUCCUUACCUUAAAGAA
RNAcentral lists this ribosomal RNA (470 nucleotides) under Salmonella enterica subsp. enterica serovar Typhimurium. Its description in RNAcentral is "bacterial SSU rRNA". It matches the Rfam family "Bacterial small subunit ribosomal RNA", at positions 1073 to 1533 of the family's 1533-position model. The record is from RNAcentral. Lineage: Bacteria; Pseudomonadati; Pseudomonadota; Gammaproteobacteria; Enterobacterales; Enterobacteriaceae.